This 969-nucleotide long non-coding RNA is filed under the name Homo sapiens (human). RNAcentral's name for it is "long non-coding RNA NONHSAT161887.1". The record is from RNAcentral. Lineage: Eukaryota; Metazoa; Chordata; Mammalia; Primates; Hominidae.
CAACUCGGCCGGACGCGGGGCACGGGCGCUAACAGGCUCCUAGGAGCCUCCCCGGGCGCCCCCCGCCCAGGGCGCGCUCUGCUCACCUGCAGGUUUCGGCGGCUCCGCGGUGACUAACAACAGCGGCAGCAGCAGCAGCAGCAGCAGAAGCGGUGGCGGCUGUGGCAGCCCCGGGCGCCCGCCCGGACCGCCGCGGGUCAUCGCUCCACGGCCGCGACCUUCCUCUGCGGGAUCAGGCGGCCGCGGUGGCCCGCGGUGGCAGAAGUUGCAAGAGAGGCUCCUGGCCUACUCAGGGGCGCCGCCUCUCCGAGGUGGGGCGUCCUCAACUUUCCUCUUUCUUGAGCCCGGCCUGCUCCGGGCUCUGAGGGGCGAGGACGCUUCACGUGGUGGCCUGGGGCCCACCCCGCCUAGGAAAGGCGGAUCCUUUACGUCUGACCCUCUAGCAACCCCUGGGCCGGUCUGGGAAAGUUCCCCAGCUGCACUUCUGGGAAAUGCAGAGGCUGCCUGCCGCUUUCUUUCGCAGUUUUGCGGCCCAAGGCUUGGGCGAAUCAGUUCACAUCAACACCCCUACUAGCCUCUCCCUCCGGGGUCGACCAUUUAUCUCCAGCAGCGGACCAGGCGCCCGGGCCAGGGUGACAUGCGCGCCCUGCCUACACGCAGCUCGGAUCCUCUGCUGUUUCUGGAGAGGCCUCCACAGGCUGAAGUGCAGCAACGUGAUCUCAGCUCACUGCAACCUCCGCUUCUCAGGCUCAAGCGAUUCUCCUGCCUCAGCCUCCCAAGUAGCCGGGAUUACAGAAGCUCCCUGGAACAACUGCUGGAAUAAGGUUCCAGAGUGGAAGGUAGUUAUUUCACUGAGAACACACAUCUGAUUCAUGCAAGAAAGUCCAUGUUCCAGACAGGGCAGCCAAGCCUAAGUACAUUUCUGCUUCAUUGAGGUCUCAGGAAAAUGUGGAAGCUCCCUCUUGGGAU